Molecule: long non-coding RNA, 674 nt
Organism: Colossoma macropomum (tambaqui)
Lineage: Eukaryota; Metazoa; Chordata; Actinopteri; Characiformes; Serrasalmidae
Exons: 3
Source: RefSeq, a predicted model, not a curated record
UCUCACUGUAAAUAAAAUCCAGCAGUUUUUGUCCAGGGCUACACUGAAGACAACCCGUUCAAGAGAAACAAGCAAAUAUGAAAUCCUUGUCUGUGGCUGUUGUCGUGCUGCUGCUGGUGCUGUCGUUACACUGUGAGGACAGUGUGGUUGAUGGAACACGCUGUUAUAAUGGAAGAGGAUUCUGUACAACAUACAGCGAUUGCCGGAGAUUUGGGGGACUUCCCAUUAGUAGACGAGAAUGUAGAUAUUUAAGGUGUUGUAUAUGACUCAUGGCAAGUAUCUUCAGAGAAUCCAUGGCUCGAUUCUCCAAAAUCAUAACCAAGUCUAAUGGGACGUCACCAAGAGGACUCCAAUCUUACUUCGGACUCCAAUCAAGAAACAGGAAAGCUGUUGGUGCAGUGAUAAUGAAGACUUUCAGGCAUCAACAAAAGAUCAUAUUCACUAAGUCAAACUUAUUAUAACUACUGUUUUUUUAUAGAUAAACUUUGUUAAAGAUUUACAACCAAGUCAAUUUUAAAGAUUUACUGCAAUUCUGAUUUUCUGAGGUGUUCAACGCAAUCCUUUGUAAAUGUUUAAUUAAAUUAAUUUACUUAAAUUAAUAAGACCAUGUGGACUAUGUAAUGUGUUAACUGUAUUAAUCACUCUGUGGCAGUUAAUAAAUUGUAUUUUAUUUA